GGCUAUAUUGGUGACAAAUGUGAGCUUUAUAGACUUUACAAGCUUAAAAUGUGAACUCUAAAUGUGUUCAUUCUUGGUGUCCUUGUCGAAUUCACGUGAUCUUAUCUGACAAUUUAAGCUUUAAUUUGAGCAUCACUGUGCACUGAUGAUUGAUCAAUUCAAUCAUCGACACUCAUCCUGACAACAUUGUAUUACAUCUUGCAGGAAUUGCUGUAGGAAUGAAGAAUUGGCUUCGCAUAACCUUCGCCAUUGAGCCUUCAGCACUUGAAGUUGGCCUUGAGAGGCUAAAAGUCUUCUGCCAAAGGCAUGCCAAGAAGCAGUAAGAUUUCAUCGAAGUAUCAAGCAGCGAAGAGAAUCAAUAGUUGCUCGUUGAUUCUCAUGCUCCAAUGUUAGAUUUACUAGCCAUUCUGUCAACAAGAACAGGCUGUGGAGAUGUACAACUUCUCGUUGGAUCUCCAAGGUGCAAUUGCUUAUCAUCAAAAACCUUUUCUCGCAAACUCUACGUAUCAAGCAGUGAAGAGAAUCAAUAGUUGCUCGUUGAUUCGCAUGCUCCAAUGUUAGAUUUACUAGCCAUUCUGUCAACAAGAACAGGCUGUGGAGAUGUACAACUUCUCGUCGGAUCUCCAAGGUGUAAUUGCCUGUCAGAAAAUUAUCUCUCUUAAACUCUACUGUGAAGUGAUUUUCUUGCCUCAAAAAACCUUUUGACAUUGCUUUUACCUGCAGUAUAUUUGUUUUUUUUUAUGAAAGAUGAGAAACUUUCCAGUCUCUUCUGUGUAAUAUGUGGUUUGUUGGUGCAUUUGCCCCCUUAUUCCUAGUUUUGUCUUGAUUUGGUCCUUUACCCCUUAGUCCUUUUAUUAUUUAAUUUGUAAUUGUUUAAUCCUAUUUGUAACACUGCGAUCAAUUUAACUUUUAAUUGCUACAUAUCCCUUAAAAAUUAACACCAUCCACCCUUGAUGGCAGGAUCUACAAUGUCUCUGGAAGAGGCAAAGGGUGCUCUAUCAAGGAGGGAGAAAAUAAUAAGAUAAAACUGAGUACGGUAAGACUAAAUACACACCAAAUCACUGUUGUUAAAAUUACCCUGGCAUGGUCCGCUAGAGACCUAUCCCGAGCCAGAUUUUACUUAAAAAUAAUUUUUUUGACCCGAUAUGAUUUAAUUAGAAAUUCAAAUGAUUUAUGAUUUAGUUAAAACUCAUUAAUUUUUUCUUUUAAAAUAUAUUAAUCUUUCUAAAUUCAUAAUGAAACCUUGUAUCUAAAUAACCCGAGUAAAAUUUAAUAACCAUGUUAUAUAACUUACGACUCCAGAGCGAGAGAGAACUGUGGAAGAGUAGAUGGUGUCUGUGUAGCAGUGCAAUCGUAGCAUAAUUUGACUAAGGAAAAAGAAUUGCUCUUUAUUUGAAGGUCUUAGAAAGGCUGGCCUAUAAUAUAAUAUAAUAUAAUGCAUGAACAAUAAUUGAAUCUAGAGGAUUCUAAUAAGAAUGGCCCAUACAUGCAAAAUUGAGAUUAUAUAUUAGAAAAUAAUGCUUGGUCAUGUCCUGUCGAUCAGUUUGGGCCAUUCUUAAAAAUCAACAAGUUUAUGCUAAUUCAUUAUACCUUGCAAUAGCCCAUAAUAACGUAGUUACCGGUUUACUGUAGGUUUGAGAUUCUAGUAACGUUUGUCGUACCCGACAUCGCGGCGGUCCUAAAAAAUAAUCUCUUGAUUAUGGAAAAAGAACAGAUAUCUGGCAUCUGGUUCUUUUAAGAAAAAAUGUCUUGUUUGAGGAGUCGCCACCUAGUAUUAUGGUCACUAGGAACCCUAACUGGUCAACAGAGAUUCUAUGGCCCGGGAUUGGUUACGUAAAAAAGAAGAUAUUAUCACCCCUUAAACGUUCUGCCUGAGGCAGACUGCAUUGCUGGUUUUGUCUUAAAUUGCUAAACAUUUAUUCGCUUAUGCUAUGAUGAUCUGUUUAUAAUAUUCCUGACUCUGGCGCCAGUGAAUAUUCGAGCUCGAAUAAUUCCAACUCUGGCGUUGGUAAAAAUUCGUAGCUACGAAAAAUUAGAUCAAUAUUUUUUUAUUCCCUACUCUAGUGCUAGUGAAUAAAUAAAUAAAAAUAAAUUGAUUUUUAUGCAUGCACAUAUUUUUUUAUUUUUCUAGCUAAAUAAAAUAAAAUACACCGAAUAAAAAUAAUAUAAAUUUAAACCGGUAUUUUUAUUCCUGACUCUGGCGUCAGUGAAUAAACCAAUAAAUUUAUAUUAUUUUUAUUCAUUCAUACACAUUUUUUUUAUUUUUUCUACUUUUUUACUUUUCUGUUUUUUUUAUUUUUUUUUAUUUUUUUGGGCUGGGCCCAACUCAGCCCACAUGGGCUGGGCUAGACCCAGCCAGCCCAGCCCAGUCACUGGCUCAAGCCAGUGACCCGGCUGGGCAAAAAUCAAAGAAAGCACGCGUGAAGUGAUUUCACGCGUGCAUGAGCAGAAUAGAGGAAAUGAGUUAGAAUGUGUGAAUUAAAAUUCAAAGUAAACAGUAGCCGGUGAAUUAAAAUGAAAAGCGGGGAAGAGGAAGAACUUACCUGGUCUGCUGGAGGCGAAGCUUUCUUGUUCUCUGGCUCUUCUUCGUUUUUUGUUCGCCUGGCUUGCUCUCUGAUUCGGGAGACGGAGGCGUGAUGGAUGACCGGCCAAAGCUCUGCUUCGGUUGCCUUGUAUGCUCCUGCGUUGUCCUCUUGUUCUCGGUCCCCGUCUCUCCUUUGUUUUCUUCUUUCGUGUUUUUUCAGUCUCUCGGUUCUGUUUUUCUCUCCGUCUCUCUCUGCCCAGUGCGCUCUCCCCUUUUCAGUCCCUUUUUCUCCCCCCCGUUCGUUCGUCUCCUCUGUUUCCUUUUGAAGAAACUAGAGGCUCCACACGUCCACUCCUUUUUCUUUUUUUCUUUUUUUUUUCCUCUGGUGUUUUGCUCCAGUUCCUCCUGUUCUCGGUGUAUUAUUGCUUUGGAUUUGUGCUCUGCUUUUUCUCUCUUCUUUGCUCUGAUUUUCUUCUCUGGUUUUUUGUCUGGGUUUAGCUGAAGCUUUUCCUCGGUUUCUCGUCCGAAAUCCCACUGUUUCCCCCCCUUUCAGUCCCCAGUUUUUCUUCCUUUUUUUUUUUGCGUUCUUUGUUUUCUCUGGCUUUAUAGCCACAGAAUUCCACCGUUACCAGGUAAUAAAUCGACUGUUAUUGCAGGAGUAAUGGUGGCGGUGGGCAGCUGAGGCGCCGAAGAAGAUGAACAGUGUUGAGAAACGGCACCCUUUUUUUGUGUUUUGAUCCUUCACAUUUUGAAUGUUUUCAGUCCAGUCCUUGGAUAAAUUGUAAUUGAACCCCUGCAUCUCAGCGCCAUUUACACAUUGGUCCUUGGGUUUUAAUUUCUUUCAAAUGUGACAAGAAUCAGCCCUAUACUUUGAUAAUUGUUCAAUUAAGUCCUUGAUUUCAUUAAUUUAAUUAAAUCCAAGUCCAAUUAAAUCUCAAAACUUAUCAAUUCUCCAUUUAAACCCCUGAUUGGAUUAAUUAGAUUAAUUCCAAAGUUUAAUUAAACCCCAAAACUUCCAAUCAUGUUGCCUUUAACCCAAAUUUUAAUUCAUUUUUCAUUUAUUUCAUUUUACUUGUUUUUCAUCAUCAUUUUUUUAUUCUUUUCAGUAAAUAAAAUAAUAAUAAUAAUUAAAAUAAAAGGGUCAAAAAUUAGGUUAUGACAACGUUAACAGUUUAAAAUAUUUUUUUAUUUAUAAAUUUUAUUUUUUAAAAUUUAACACCAACAUAUAUAUAUAUAUAUAUAUAUAUAUAUAUAUAUAUAUAUUCAUUUUAAGCAAAGUAAAAAAAAUUCAAAAUGUUUGGGAAUGUUAUUUGCACCGCGUUUCUAAACACAUCCUUAAUCAAUAAUUACGGUAUAGUUUGUACGGAUCAACUUAUAUUGAUCUAAAACACUUUUUUUAAAUGUUUUUUUUGUUAAAGGUUGAAAUAAUAUUAUUUUAGAUUUUUUUUAAAAAAUCAAGCAGGGUUUUAUCAUGGUUUUAAUCAAGUUAACUUGUUAGAUUUAAUUUAUCAACUCCCACUCAAUCCAAUAUAAAACUCGAUAUAAACUAGAUCUCGAAUUAGCAAGGUCUUAAUUAAAUUAACAAGGCAUGUCAGGUUUAAUAAUACUUUCAAAUAAAAUAUAAUUUAUUUCAAGUUUUUAGUAUCUAAUUAUUUUUAUUACUAAAAUAUAAAAUAUCUAGAGAGCAUUGAGUAACAUAAGAUUUCUUCGUACUCCAACACAUUAAAAAUACAAUUGUAGAUUGCGUUAGAUUUGAUCAGAACUUUAAACUAGAUCAUGUAUCAGAGGAGGAAGGUUUAAUUUGGUCCCUAUAGUUUUUAAGAUUUAACUUCCCUAAGUUUUUUAAGAUUUAACUUAGUUUUUUCUUCAAUUUCAUGUUUUUUCCAUCUUUGUUUUUGAAGAAAAUGGAAAAAAAGGAGAACUAGAUUAGAGGAUGAGACUGGUCAUCGAUAGUAAAAUGGUUAUGUAAUAAUAUUUUUUAUUAAAGUAUAACUUAAUUGGUUAUACCUUAAAUAUAAUUUUCAGAUAUUAUCAAUUUAAAUAUUACAAACUUUAGAGCGACUAUAUCCAGAUUCCUGCAGUUAAAAAAUAAUAAUAAUAAAUGUUUUAUACCAUAAGGAUUACUCGUUAUUUUUUUUUUGACAAAAAAUAACAAACGCGACAAAACUCUCUUUUAUCAUGAACCUUGUCCUGACUAUGCAUCAAACAGGAGCAACGACAAGAAGAACCAGCCACAACCUCUUCAUCUCCACUGCAAACACAGAUACCAUCGUAAGAAAUGGAGAAUGGAACAGAGAAAUGGAGUUUUCAGGCAAGUAAAGGCAAGAACUCAACAGCAUCAAUCACAGUUCGUGGAGUUCUUAACCGCUUAGCUGAAACUCUGAACAAAGAAGACAAAAGAGAAGUUAUACCACUAGCUCAUGGUGACCCUUCUGCCUUCCCUUGCUUCAGGACUACACCUGUGGCUGAUGAGGCUAUUUUUGAUGCUGUACGAUCUGCUAAGAACAAUCAUUAUGCUCCAACUGUGGGUCUCCUUCCUGCUAGGAGGUAUCUACUUUGAAUGAUUUUGUGUGUGUAGAUUUUUAUGCUCUCUAUCUUGAAAAUUUCUCGGCUUUGAUAAUUUCCACUGAAGCAGUUUUGAUUUGUGGUUUAUGUUAAAUUUGCAUCCAUAUUGUGGGGAUGAAGUUUUAUUGAGCUUAACAAGCUCUAACACGAAGCGAUUAAGCUUGGCAUACAUCCCGUAGGAACCUCAGACACUGUGUCUUCAAUCAAUCAAUAUACUCUCCUUAAUUGUAGGCUGCAAUAUUCAAAUAUACUCUGAAUUGAAAGUGAUUUUGAAUUCUUUAUCAUAGAGCUGCUGCAGAUUACCUUAACCGUGACCUCCCAUACAAGUUAUCACCAGAUGAUGUUUUUCUCACACUUGGUUGCACACAAGCAAUUGAAAUUGCAGUAACAGUCUUGGCUGCUAUACCUGGUGCCAAUGUUUUGCUUCCAAGACCAGGUUUCCCAUACUAUGAAGCUCGUGCUGCACGUAGUUGUCUUGAUGUCCGGCAUUUUGAUCUUCUCCCAGAAAAAGGAUGGGAGGUUGAUCUUGAAGCUGUUGAAGCUCUGGCAGAUGAGAACACGGUUGCAAUGGUUAUUAUAAACCCUGGCAAUCCUUGUGGAAGUGUCUACAGCUAUCAACACUUGGAAAAGGUGUCAUAAACUAUAUCUCUUCCUUCCUAUCUUUUAAUCUGCAUUAGCUGGAGCGCGUGGUUAUGCUAGCCCCCUUGGAGUAAUGUUUUUUGUUCAAUGUCAGGUUGCCGAGACAGCAAGAAUGCUUGGGAUUAUGGUGAUUUCUGAUGAAGUAUAUGGCCACUUGACAUUUGGGAGUGCUCCAUUUGUGCCGAUGGGAGUCUUUGCGUCAACUGUGCCUGUCCUUACACUUGGAUCUAUAUCGAAGAGAUGGAUUGUUCCCGGCUGGCGAAUGGGCUGGCUUGUCACAAAUGAUCCCAAUGGCAUCCUUCAAGAUUCUGGGGUUGGCUCCCUGUCUCUGUCUCGAAGUAGAUGCAUUGACGUUGUUUUUUUUAAUUCUGUGGGAACUGACUCGUUUUCCCAUCAUGGUUCAAAGCCUUCUGUUCUUUUUAAUGAUAACAUCUAUGUCUGCAUUAACAUGGACUCGUAAUCUUGGCUUCUUAACAUAUCUAUUUGUUCUUCCUAGAUUGUUGCGUCAAUCAAGGACUACCUCAAUAUCUCUUCGGAUCCUCCGACUUUCAUUCAGGUUUGUAAUUCACGAUACUUUUCCUGAAGAGCAUAUUGUUGGUUUCCCGCUUAGAAUCUCACUGAUAUAAUGAAUCCUUGACAUGUAUUAGGCUGCAGUUCCUCAAAUCAUUGAAAAUACAAAGGAUGGUUUCUUUUCGAAAAUUAAUAACAUACUGGGAGAGGCUGCAGACACAUGCUAUGGAAAAAUACAGGACAUACCUUGCAUCAUUUGCCCUCAUAAACCAGAAGGUUCUAUGUUUGUAAUGGUGAGCGCAUCACAUUUCUUUUCCUUUAUAUGAUGAAGAAGAUGGUGCUUUAAUAAUUAAAAACAUUAACCCUUUUUCAGGUAAAAUUGAAUUUGACUCUGCUGGAAGGCAUCGAUGAUGAUGUGGACUUCUGUCUUAAGCUGGCUAAAGAGGAAUCAGUCAUGGUACUCCCAGGUAAUCAAUGCCGAUGGCACAAAGUUUCUGAUGUGGGGUGGGCUAUAUUGGUGACAAAUGUGAGCUUUAUAGACUUUACAAGCUUAAAAUGUGAACUCUAAAUGUGUUCAUUCUUGGUGUCCUUGUCGAAUUCACGUGAUCUUAUCUGACAAUUGAAGCUUUAAUUUGAGCAUCACUGUGCACUGAUGAUUGAUCAAUUCAAUCAUCGACACUCAUCCUGACAACAUUGUAUUACAUCUUGCAGGAAUUGCUGUAGGAAUGAAGAAUUGGCUUCGCAUAACCUUCGCCAUUGAGCCUUCAGCACUUGAAGUUGGCCUUGAGAGGCUAAAAGUCUUCUGCCAAAGGCAUGCCAAGAAGCAGUAAGAUUUCAUCAAAGUAUCAAGCAGCGAAGAGAAUCAAUAGUUGCUCGUUGAUUCUCAUGCUCCAAUGU
RNAcentral lists this long non-coding RNA (7135 nucleotides) under Populus trichocarpa (black cottonwood). RNAcentral describes it as "long non-coding RNA (PTRI_LNC003734)". Lineage: Eukaryota; Viridiplantae; Streptophyta; Magnoliopsida; Malpighiales; Salicaceae. The record is from RNAcentral.